AAUGAACGCUGGCGGCAUGCCUAACACAUGCAAGUCGAACGAGAUCUUCGGGUCUAGUGGCGCACGGGUGCGUAACGCGUGGGAAUCUGCCCUUUGGUUCGGAAUAACAGUUGGAAACGACUGCUAAUACCGGAUGAUGACGAAAGUCCAAAGAUUUAUCGCCAGAGGAUGAGCCCGCGUAGGAUUAGCUAGUUGGUGUGGUAAAGGCGCACCAAGACGACGAUCCUUAGCUGGUCUGAGAGGAUGAUCAGCCACACUGGGACUGAGACACGGCCCAGACUCCUACGGGAGGCAGCAGUGGGGAAUAUUGGACAAUGGGCGAAAGCCUGAUCCAGCAAUGCCGCGUGAGUGAUGAAGGCCUUAGGGUUGUAAGCUCUUUUACCCGGGAUGAUAAUGACAGUACCGGGAGAAUAAGCUCCGGCUAACUCCGUGCCAGCCGCCGCGGUAA
Molecule: ribosomal RNA, 448 nt
Filed under: uncultured bacterium
Lineage: Bacteria
Description: partial 16S ribosomal RNA
Rfam family: Bacterial small subunit ribosomal RNA
Source: RNAcentral